UUUCGCAAUGCCCGAAAGGGUGACGAAGCGACGCCGCGUGCGGGAAGAAGGCCUUCGGGUUGUAAACCGCUGUCGGGAGUUAAGAAAUGUAAGGAUGUUAAUAGCAUCUUUGCUUGACUAAGGCUCCGGAGGAAGCCACGGCUAACUCUGUGCCAGCAGCCGCGGUAAUACAGAGGCGGCAAGCGUUGUUCGGAAUUAUUGGGCGUAAAGAGCACGUAGGCGGCUAUGUAAGUCGGUUGUGAAAGCCUUCCGCUCAACGGGAGAACAGCAUCCGAUACUGCAUGGCUUGAGUGCGGGAGGGGAGAGUGGAACUUCUGGUGGAGCGGUGAAAUGCGUAGAUAUCGGAAGGAACGCCGGCGGCGAAAGCGGCUCUCUGGCCCAUAACUGACGCUGAGUGUGCGAAAGCUAGGGGAGCAAACGGGAUUAGAUACCCCGGUAGUCCUAGCCGUAAACGAUGGGCACUAAGUAGAGGGGUUUUAUCUC
This 483-nucleotide ribosomal RNA is filed under the name uncultured bacterium. RNAcentral's name for it is "bacterial SSU rRNA". It matches the Rfam family "Bacterial small subunit ribosomal RNA", at positions 364 to 841 of the family's 1533-position model. The record is from RNAcentral.